CGGCGAUCCUCGCGCCAGGGUCGUACGUCCGACCUUCUGACCCCAGCGUGCGCUAGGAGGGCCCGACCCGUUUGCGGUCUGCGCCUGCGCAGGAGUUCGAUCGGUAUUUGGAAUUGAUGUGGUGCUGGCACUUAAUUCCAAAGAUAGGAUGGCUAUUUUUCAGUUUUUGUGGUCUUGUAGGGGUGUGAGAAUUGGUGCUCCACAGAAGCCACCAGCCAUUCUGACUUCUGCAGGAAACAUGCCCUGAGACUGUGAGACCACUCAUACCAUCUAAGACAAGUCAUUCCUCCAAGUUCACCAGCACCCUUGCUUAGGAAAGGAACGUAAGAGUCACCAUUGAAGCUUUGUUACAGAGCAGCUGAACACCAGCCAACGUGGCAUGGGUCACACAUCGUCUUCAUUCACAAGCAUUCACAGCUGGGAAGUUGAAACUAUGAGCCUUGCUAUCUUCAGCCUAUAUGUCCAUAAAUUGCUGCUGAGCCACUCUAUCAGGAUAUUUCAAAGACUGGUGUUGGUCCCCCAAGGGACAGCAUCAAAUCUAGCUGAUGUUUUCAACAUUUGAUUAUGUGAAUGGGAUGUAUUUCCACCUUAUUGGUGGGGUCCAGUUUUUCCUCAUUUUGCUUAAUGAAGGGAUGGCUGAAUGUAUGAAUCUUACUCAAAAGCCUGAGGGCAUGGAGCAGUGCUCCUUUGUAAGCUGUCUUCCAGCUAAAAUGCUGGAAUAAUUCCACCAGGUAGUUCUUCUUAAUGCCUGUCUCACAACAGAGAAUGCACAACUAAAAUUGGAUUCUUAUUCCUUCAGUGCUUUAAAAACUUAAAGAAUUUUCUAUGCCUGCCUUACAUUUAAGAUUUGAUUCCUUGGCCUGCUUCUAGUUUGCCUGAAGAUGCUUGCUGAUUUAAACCUCUAAGAAGCUUUUCAGUCCCUUUUGACAGGCUCCUGUAUGCAUCUAUUCAUAAACUUUGACUUCAAAAUGAUAAUUGGGACCAGUGUGGAGCAGCACAUAUCCUACAAAUCUUGAUGACACUCGUUUGCCUUCAGCCCAGAGGCAUCCCAGGGAUAAACCUGAAGAUCAGAGAUUACAUUCUCUACCAUCAUUCCUAAAAUUGCCAGUAUCCCUUGUAAAUAUAGUACUCUUCUCUCCAAUUGUACAUUUAAAUAAGAUAUCAGUUAGGAGUCAGAAGCACAGGAGAAUAUCCCAGGAUUUGUUCUUUGUGGCAUAGGAAAGCCUUCAGGGUCUGCAAGUAGGUCCUUUCGCUCAGUGUGUUUGCAAAAGCAGGAAUUCUUACACACACACACACACACACACACACACACACACACGGUUCUUAGCAAUGCUGACGCCACUCUGGGAGGGUUUACAUGGGAAGGAAAGGAAAAGACAGGGAACAGAAGAUGGAGGGAUGGAGAAAGAAGGAAGAAAGGAUGACAGAGAUAGGCAGACAAGGACAUUCUUUUCUCCCAGGUCACCCUCCAUUGGUAGAGACCUAACAUUGCCUGGAACAGUUCCUCAACGUGGCGCUCCUGAUGUGCUUUGGGAGGGUAGGAGUAGAGCAGCAUCCCUAGCUUCUACUUACCGGAUGCCAGGACACUCAUUGCCCCACCCUCAAGUGGUGACAAUCAAAAACAUCUUUAGAUAUCACCAGAUGCAACUUGGGGGACAUGCAG
This is a long non-coding RNA of Heterocephalus glaber (naked mole-rat), 1663 nucleotides long. NCBI's taxonomy places the organism in Eukaryota, Metazoa, Chordata, Mammalia, Rodentia, Bathyergidae. The record is from Ensembl.